RNAcentral lists this non-coding RNA (30 nucleotides) under Mus musculus (house mouse). Lineage: Eukaryota; Metazoa; Chordata; Mammalia; Rodentia; Muridae. The record is from RNAcentral.
UGGAUAAACAUGGUGGUUUGGUUCCCGUGC